CCUACGGGAGGCAGCAGUGGGGAAUAUUGCACAAUGGGGGAAACCCUGAUGCAGCAAAGCAGCGUGAGUGAAGAAGUAUUUCGGGAUGUAAAGCUCUAUCAGCAGGGGAGAAAAUGACAGUACCUGACUAAGAAGCCCCGGCUAACUACGUGCCAGCAGCCGCGGUAAUACGUCGGGGGCAAGCGUUAUCCGGAUUUACUGGGUUUAAAGGGAGCUUAGACGGGUUGGCAAGUCAGAAGUGAAAGCCCGGGGCUCAACCGUGGGACUGCUUUUGAAACUGUGUAGCUAGAGUGCAGGUGAGGUAAGUGGAAUGCCUGGUGUAGCGGUGAAAUGCGUAGAUAUUAGGAGGAACACCGGUGGCGAAGGCGGCUUACUGGACUGUAACUGACGUUGAGGCUCGAAAGUGUGGGGAGCAAACAGGAUUAGAUACCCUGGUAGUC
Molecule: ribosomal RNA, 440 nt
Filed under: uncultured bacterium
Lineage: Bacteria
Description: partial 16S ribosomal RNA
Rfam family: Bacterial small subunit ribosomal RNA
Source: RNAcentral